GGCCUAACACAUGCAGUCGAGCGGAAACGACACUAACAAUCCUUCGGGUGCGUUAAUGGGCGUCGAGCGGCGGACGGGUGAGUAAUGCCUAGGAAAUUGCCUUGAUGUGGGGGAUAACCAUUGGAAACGAUGGCUAAUACCGCAUAAUGCCUACGGGCCAAAGAGGGGGACCUUCGGGCCUCUCGCGUCAAGAUAUGCCUAGGUGGGAUUAGCUAGUUGGUGAGGUAAUGGCUCACCAAGGCGACGAUCCCUAGCUGGUCUGAGAGGAUGAUCAGCCACACUGGAACUGAGACACGGUCCAGACUCCUACGGGAGGCAGCAGUGGGGAAUAUUGCACAAUGGGCGAAAGCCUGAUGCAGCCAUGCCGCGUGUAUGAAGAAGGCCUUCGGGUUGUAAAGUACUUUCAGUUGUGAGGAAGGGGGUAGCGUUAAUAGCGCUAUCUCUUGACGUUAGCAACAGAAGAAGCACCGGCUAACUCCGUGCCAGCAGCCGCGGUAAUACGGAGGGUGCGAGCGUUAAUCGGAAUUACUGGGCGUAAAGCGCAUGCAGGUGGUUCAUUAAGUCAGAUGUGAAAGCCCGGGGCUCAACCUCGGAACUGCAUUUGAAACUGGUGAACUAGAGUACUGUAGAGGGGGGUAGAAUUUCAGGUGUAGCGGUGAAAUGCGUAGAGAUCUGAAGGAAUACCAGUGGCGAAGGCGGCCCCCUGGACAGAUACUGACACUCAGAUGCGAAAGCGUGGGGAGCAAACAGGAU
RNAcentral lists this ribosomal RNA (753 nucleotides) under Vibrio sp. ACH-55. Its description in RNAcentral is "bacterial SSU rRNA". It matches the Rfam family "Bacterial small subunit ribosomal RNA", at positions 45 to 778 of the family's 1533-position model. The record is from RNAcentral. Lineage: Bacteria; Pseudomonadati; Pseudomonadota; Gammaproteobacteria; Vibrionales; Vibrionaceae.